UACGUAGGGGGCAAGCGUUGUCCGGAAUUAUUGGGCGUAAAGAGCUUGUAGGCGGUUUGUCGCGUCUGCUGUGAAAUUUCGGGGCUCAACCCCGAACUUGCAGUGGGUACGGGCAGACUAGAGUGUGGUAGGGGAGACUGGAAUUCCUGGUGUAGCGGUGAAAUGCGCAGAUAUCAGGAGGAACACCGAUGGCGAAGGCAGGUCUCUGGGCCACUACUGACGCUGAGAAGCGAAAGCGUGGGGAGCGAACAGG
This 253-nucleotide ribosomal RNA is filed under the name uncultured bacterium. RNAcentral's name for it is "partial 16S ribosomal RNA". It matches the Rfam family "Bacterial small subunit ribosomal RNA", at positions 524 to 776 of the family's 1533-position model. The record is from RNAcentral.